CCUAUUAAUAGCAUCGGUGACGGGGCAAAAAUUUAUUUAUGGAGUUCAUUCGUUAUCGAGGCAUUGAAGCCUAUAGCGAGCCUCGAUGCGCACUCGUGCGAAACUCGCGUGUUUUUGAACACGCGCGACGAACGCAAUUGUUUACUUGAUAAAAACAAUACAUCGAAGCAGAGUGGAAUCCGCGCGUGGCUCUGUCAACAAACGAAAAUAAUCUGCCGAGCAAACAAGAUGGGGCAAAAGUAUCGCGUGACAACAGCAUGCGAAUUCAGUUCGAUGGAAACAUUUGGAGUCGCGUCUCUGUGGGAGAAAAAUCAACGGAAGCCGGCGUUCGCGUUACUCAUCGCGAUAUUGACGCUAAUUACCGAUUCGUCGAACGUGGAAAUUUAUUCGCCGGGCAAAUUAAUUAGGGUGGACGCAGCUUUUAACGGCAUCUCGGAUCGUUUCUCUUGCAGAUGAAUUACCCAGAAUGCUUGGUUACUUCGGCAGGCGACAGGUGAAGCGUAUCAAGUUGUUGGAUGAGCCGCGUUAUCGGUGUGAAAAUAACGGCCACGAAUCUAAUGAGUCGCGUCUGACCACCGGUUUUUAAACGAUGCAGAUUAGGAAAUUCGAUAAGAUCCGAUUACACGUCGCGAUCCGUGUUAAUAAUUGCAUGCACGAAGAGACGAAUCAUCGACGCCAUGAUGCGUAUCCCUUCACAAAGUCAGAUAAGCAAACUCAUUCGGACUAUGGUACCGUCUGACGAAUAUAUCGUUGAAUGAAUUAAUGAAUUCAGGUUGGACUGUUCAUCUUCUGGUUUACACGCGCCAAUGCUGAACGCUUUGAACUUAUAUGGUUACUUGAUGACGUUUCAAUUAGUUUUCUGACACAGAAAUAUCCUUUUUCUCUCCAUACGGUAGAUAUUAUUUGUCGAUGUAAGUACUGUCAUUUUAUAUAUAAUGGACACCUGUAGGAAACCUUUUAUGGAUAUUACUGGCAAUAAUUAUUUGAACGUUCAAUUAUUUAUCGCAUUAAUAAGCCGUAAUGUUUUUAGUGGCUUUCAUCUUCAACGCUAAUUAUAUGCUCAAGACUGCUAUUCGAGCUGUGUACUAAUUUUUUGAUUUCAUCGAACGACUUAUUCUACACACGUUUUCAGAAUGGUCCCAUAUUUUACCAAUGUAAUCGCAAUACUCGUAUCUUACGAGUAUGUUAAUUGUUGAGCAUGAUUAUAGAAGAACGAGUGGGUGAAUUUGUAAUAGGAAAAUAUAUUGAAAUAAAUAAAGGUAUAAUUGUAAGUGUAAUGUAUAGGUUUAUG
This 1291-nucleotide unclassified non-coding RNA is filed under the name Bombus terrestris (buff-tailed bumblebee). RNAcentral's name for it is "misc RNA ENSBTSG00005019652.1". The record is from RNAcentral. Lineage: Eukaryota; Metazoa; Arthropoda; Insecta; Hymenoptera; Apidae.